GCACUAGAAGCUCAGUGUCUAGAGCGUCG
This 29-nucleotide transfer RNA is filed under the name Micropoecilia branneri. RNAcentral describes it as "partial tRNA-Thr". RNAcentral also lists the same sequence under 1 other name. The record is from RNAcentral. Lineage: Eukaryota; Metazoa; Chordata; Actinopteri; Cyprinodontiformes; Poeciliidae.